UUCAAGUUUGUUCACCUCUUCUUGCAAGUUCUUCAUUAUGCACGAGACCUCGAAGACCAUAGCACAAUCUCCAUCCUUUUUCACUCAUUGAUCGAUAGGUUCCUCCAAAAAGUAUGGAGAAACAACUUCCAUUGUAUAAACCAAGAUUGUUUGCAGAAUCACAAAGUGUCAUGCUUCAAGUUUGUUCACCUCUUCUUGCAAGUUCUUCAUUAUGCACGAGACCUCGAAGACCAUAGCACAAUCUCCAUCCUUUUUCACUCAUUGAUCAAUAGGUUCCUCCAAAAAGUAUGGAGAAACAAGACUUUCAUUGUAUAAACCAAGAUUGUUUGCAGCAUCACAACGUGUCAUGCUUCAAGUUUGUUCACCUCUUCUUGCAAGUUCUUCAUUAUGCACGAGAGCUCGAAGACCAUAGCACAGUCUUCAUCCUUUUUCACUCAUUGAUCGAUAGGUUCCUCCAAAAAAAAUGGAGAAACAAGACUUUCAUUGUAUAAACCAAGAUUGUUUGCAGCAUCACAACGUAUCCUAACCUCAGGACGCGUGAAAGUGUUAUCUCUUGAAUUAAACCACACUAA
This 572-nucleotide long non-coding RNA is filed under the name Solanum tuberosum (potato). RNAcentral's name for it is "long non-coding RNA (STUB_LNC009448)". Lineage: Eukaryota; Viridiplantae; Streptophyta; Magnoliopsida; Solanales; Solanaceae. The record is from RNAcentral.